Molecule: long non-coding RNA, 1591 nt
Filed under: Sorghum bicolor (sorghum)
Lineage: Eukaryota; Viridiplantae; Streptophyta; Magnoliopsida; Poales; Poaceae
Description: long non-coding RNA (SBIC_LNC008923)
Source: RNAcentral
GGGGUAUCUUAAAUUUAAUCUUACUGAAAGCAUCAUCAUUAUUGUGUACCUCGCGUCGGCGGUUGCCACCCAUACCUCUACGGUUGUGACGAAGGCGACGUCGAUCACGAGUGUCUUGAUCGUCAUGUUCAGUAUCACCAGUGUAGUCAUCUUCAUGACUACCGUGCUCUCGAUCUCCCUCCUUUUUCUUCUUUAUGCUUCUCUUUAUCUUCGGUGUGGAAAUCAUCAAAUCGCCUUAGGAGAGCAGCAAGGCUUUUGUCCACACUAGCAACGGAUUCCUCCAAACUUGUGAGCUUGUUGUUUGUGGCAAUCUGCGUAGCCUCCAACUGCCCCAGCUUUUCAUUUGUCACCUGCAAGUCGUUAUCAAGUCCCUCUGUGUGCAGCUUCACUUUCCUUUCAAAAUGUUGUAUGAUGCCCUUAGUGCGAGGUGUAAGUGGUGUUUUGUUACCACCAUCUGCCCCUGGCAUGGUUCAAAGACAAAGACAACAAAAAGGUAAGUGAAGAAAUAAAAGCCCUACAACUACUUGGAUGUAGCUACAGCAAGUCGCUCACACUCAACCUGUAAUACAAGUUCUUACCAAUUCUUACCUUGCUUGACAGGAGGGGUCGUCUGCCAACAAGUGUACAGCAAUGGACGAAGUGUAUCGGUGCUGCAGCACAAGACCUGUCAAGCUGUAGAGUAUGUGGAGCUAUAGGUGGGCUGAAACAAGGAACGAACUAGCACCACGUUAGUUAUAAAAGCGAGCUGAAUAAGCGUUCGACGAUGGUACUGUGCUGGUCCUAGGCUAGACCGUGCUAGAGACGCGAGCCUGGACACAAAGGAAAACCACAGCACACCCCCGAAAACAAGGUGGAAGAAACCUAAAAUCAAUAUGAAAAACAGCCCCUUUUUUUGAAUCUUUUUUCUUUUUUUUUCUUUUUUUUUGGGCAACCUCAAAAACUGAUUAUAUGAACAAAAGAAUACAAAAGAGCAAUUCUCUCUCUCUCUCUAGAGUAAGGCCGAACAAGUAUGGAGUUAUCCUUCUUUUUUUAUCACGUUGGUGGAACUCGGAUUGGAACUCUACUCGAUCCGGACCAAGACCACAGUUCAAUUCGGACUUCGCAACAGAUUCGACAGAGAGAAGAUAUGGUAAUACUCGGCUGUGUAUAGAUGGUGACAAGAACUCGAAACUCUAAAGGACUAGACACUAAGACCAGCAACUCGACACAAACCGAAGCAACGCAAAUUCAACAAGCCCUAACUAAAACGGUACUAGCCAAGGCACAAAGGUUUAAUAGGAUUAUGGAAAAACUAAUCUACUAUAUUUUUUUUGGCUUUUCUGGACUAUAGGAAAUUAAUUAAAAACAGCAAAGGAUUAGAAGUCUCUCACCGAAGAACCUUGCUCUGAUUACCAACUGAUGUGAACCCGCUAGGGUUUUUGCCUGAUCUUUUGAUGACAGACGGGGAUAACUCGAUUGGUGGAUGGAGAUGAUGUUCACGGCCCGACUACAGCCCUCAAGACCGCGCCUUAGCAACCGAUACACCACGUCCAACAGCCGUCACGAUCUUGUGGAGCGCGACAACCAGCCCCUAGGGCUCCCGUCCUGCAAG